Molecule: ribosomal RNA, 340 nt
Filed under: uncultured bacterium
Lineage: Bacteria
Description: bacterial SSU rRNA
Rfam family: Bacterial small subunit ribosomal RNA
Source: RNAcentral
AGAGUUUGAUCCUGGCUCAGGAUGAACGUUGGCGGCGUGCUUAACACAUGCAAGUCGAACGGGAAGCCAUUUCGGUGGCGGAGAGUGGCGCACGGGUGAGUAACACGUAGCUGACCUGCCCUCAAGCACGGGAUAACGUACCGAAAGGUGUGCUAAUACCGUAUAAGCUCCCGGUGUUUAGAAAGCCGAGAGAAAGGUUCAGGCGCUUGAGGAUGGGGCUGCGGCCCAUCAGCUAGUUGGUAAGGUAACGGCUUACCAAGGCGACGACGGGUAGGGGACCUGAGAGGGUGGACCCCCACACUGGGACUGAGACACGGCCCAGACACCUACGGGUGGCUGC